CUUUAAUUGCAAGCUCCCUGAAAGGCCAACUUCAGCACUACCCAUUGCAUAGCCCUAUAUUGCUGAUACUGAAACAGCAGUUCCUACCAGCUCUAUGGUAGAUAUUAUCCUGAAGGGGAGGAUAAAGAAACUGGCCACCAAGAUGGUAAUCACUAGUGGAAAUGAAGAAGAUAAAGGCAGUCAAGAAAAGGAAAGCAAAGAAGAAACCAUCCUGGCAAUGCUUGGAAUUAUUGGGACAAUUCUAAAUCUCAUUGUGAUCAUUUUUGUGUACAUUUACACAACGUUGUAAACUAGGAGGCAUGCAAAUAGAACAGAUAAAACGGCCAUUAAGAGUGACAACAAACAUUGCUGACUAUUGACAAGUUGUUUAAUCAGAAUUGACUCUGUAUUAUAUUAACACAUCAUAAAAGCACUGCCUGCAGGCAGCGAAGGCUGAAGCACAAUUAAUUUAACAAGACUUCUUCACGCAGUAACAAGCUAAACUCUUCUGUCCUGCCCUCUUCCUUUCGCUUUGGUUUUCGGUUUGGGGGAAACAUGACUGCAAUUAUGUAAGUUGUAGCUUUGAAGAAAUCCACCUGGGUUAUGUUGUUUUAGCACAAUUUAAAAA
Meleagris gallopavo (turkey) is the source of this 607-nucleotide non-coding RNA. The record is from RefSeq and is a predicted model, not a curated record. NCBI's taxonomy places the organism in Eukaryota, Metazoa, Chordata, Aves, Galliformes, Phasianidae.